GAAACGGAGGAGGUGGGAUGACGUCAAAUCAUCAUGCCCCUUAUGUUCUGGGCUACACACGCGCUACAAUGGCCGGUACAGACGGAGGCGAAGCCGCGAGGCGGAGCAAAUCCGAAAAAGCCGGUCUCAGUUCGGAUUGCAGGCUGCAAUUCGCCUGCAUGAAGUCGGAAUCGCUAGUAAUCGCAGGUCAGCAUACUGCGGUGAAUACGUUCCCGGGCCUU
RNAcentral lists this ribosomal RNA (221 nucleotides) under uncultured Pelotomaculum sp. RNAcentral's name for it is "partial 16S ribosomal RNA". It matches the Rfam family "Bacterial small subunit ribosomal RNA", at positions 1160 to 1382 of the family's 1533-position model. The record is from RNAcentral. Lineage: Bacteria; Bacillati; Bacillota; Clostridia; Eubacteriales; Desulfotomaculaceae.